RNAcentral lists this non-coding RNA (103 nucleotides) under Methylobacterium sp. RNAcentral's name for it is "Glycine sequence". It matches the Rfam family "Glycine riboswitch aptamer". From Rfam's summary of the family: This family represents the bacterial glycine riboswitch. Glycine riboswitches usually consist of two metabolite-binding aptamers domains with similar structures in tandem. Lineage: Bacteria; Pseudomonadati; Pseudomonadota; Alphaproteobacteria; Hyphomicrobiales; Methylobacteriaceae. The record is from RNAcentral.
ACAGACGAUACGGGAGAGCCCAGGCCGCUCGUGAAGAGGGGUUAUGGCGCCGACGGAGCAACCACCCCCGGAAACUCUCAGGCACAAUCACCGUAUCGUUGGA